This 464-nucleotide ribosomal RNA is filed under the name uncultured bacterium. Its description in RNAcentral is "partial 16S ribosomal RNA". It matches the Rfam family "Bacterial small subunit ribosomal RNA", at positions 338 to 795 of the family's 1533-position model. The record is from RNAcentral.
CCUACGGGUGGCAGCAGUAGGGAAUCUUCGUCAAUGGGCGCAAGCCUGAACGAGCAAUGCCGCGUGAACGAGGAAGGUCUUCGGAUCGUAAAGUUCUGUUGAAGGGGAAAAAGAGCGGAGAGAGGAAAUGGUCUCCGAUUGAUAUUAACCUUCGAGGAAGUCACGGCUAAAUACGUGCCAGCAGCCGCGGUAAUACGUAGGUGGCGAGCGUUAUCCGGAAUGAUUGGGCGUAAAGGGUGCGUAGGCGGCCUGCUAAGUCUGGAGUGAAAGGUACCGGCUCAACCGGUACAGGCUCUGGAAACGGGCGGGCUAGAGAGCAGGAGAGGGCGGUGGAACUCCAUGUGUAGCGGUAAAAUGCGUAUAUAUAUGGAAGAACACCAGUGGCGAAGGCGGCCGCCUGGCCUGUUACUGACGCUGAGGCACGAAAGCGUGGGGAGCAAAUAGGAUUAGAUACCCGGGUAGUC